CGGGUGCACUGAUCCGGCCGGGCCUUUCCCUCUGUGGAACCCCUUGGCCUUCACUGGCUGUGCCGGGGAAACCGGACUUUUACUGUGAAAAAAUUAGAGUGCUCCUGCAGGCCUAUGCUUUAAUACAUUAGCAUGGAAUAAUAGAAUAGGACGCGUGGUUCUAUUUUGUUGGUUUCUAGGACCGCCACCAUGAUUAAUAGGGACAGUCGGGGGCAUCAGUAUUCAAUUGUCAGAGGUGAAAUUCUUGGAUCUAUUGAAGACUAACUACUGCGAAAGCAUUUGCCAAGGAUGUUUUCAUUGAUAAGGAACGAAAGUUAGGGGAUCGAAGACUAUCAGACACCGUCGUAGUCUUAACUAUAAACUAUGCCGACUAGGGAUCGGACGAUGUUAUUUCUUGACGCGUUCGGCACCUUUUUAGAAAUCAAAGUGGUUGGGCUCCAGGGGGAGUAUGGUGACAAGGCGGAAAGUCAAAGAAAGGAGUGGAAGGGCACCACCAGGGGGGGAACACGCGGGGUAAUUUGACUCAACACGGGGAAACUCACCAGGUCCAGACACAAUGUGGAUUGACAGAUUGAGAGCUCUUUCUUGAUUCUGUGGGUGGUGGUGCAUGGCCGUUCUUAGGGGUGGAGUGAUUUGUCUGGUUACUUUAGUUAACGAAAGAGACCUUAUCCUUUUAAAUAGCCCGGACUGCUCUGGCAGUUCGCCUGUUUCUAAGAGGGACUAUCGG
Molecule: ribosomal RNA, 727 nt
Filed under: uncultured eukaryote
Lineage: Eukaryota
Description: bacterial SSU rRNA
Rfam family: Eukaryotic small subunit ribosomal RNA
Source: RNAcentral